CCUACGGGUGGCAGCAGUGGGGAAUAUUGCACAAUGGGGGAAACCCUGAUGCAGCGACGCCGCGUGAGUGAAGAAGUCAUUCGUUAUGUAAAGCUCUAUCAGCAGGGACGAAAAUGACGGUACCUGAGUAAGAAUCCCCGGCUACCUACGUGCCAGCAGCCGCGGUAAUACGUAGGGGGCAAGCGUUAUCCUGCUUUACUGGGUGGAAAGGGAGCGUAGACGGCAGUGCAAGUCUGGAGUGAAAGGCGGGGGCUCAACCCCCGGACUGCUCUGGAAACUGUACGGCUGGAGUGCAGGAGAGGUAAGUGGAAUUCCUAGUGUAGCGGUGAAAUGCGUAGAUAUUAGGAGGAACACCAGUGGCGAAGGCGGCUUACUGGACUGUAACUGACGUUGAGGCUCGAAAGCGUGGGGAGCAAACAGGAUUAGAUACCCGAGUAGUC
This 440-nucleotide ribosomal RNA is filed under the name uncultured bacterium. RNAcentral's name for it is "partial 16S ribosomal RNA". It matches the Rfam family "Bacterial small subunit ribosomal RNA", at positions 338 to 795 of the family's 1533-position model. The record is from RNAcentral.